This 263-nucleotide ribosomal RNA is filed under the name Escherichia coli. RNAcentral describes it as "partial 16S ribosomal RNA". It matches the Rfam family "Bacterial small subunit ribosomal RNA", at positions 1 to 260 of the family's 1533-position model. Lineage: Bacteria; Pseudomonadati; Pseudomonadota; Gammaproteobacteria; Enterobacterales; Enterobacteriaceae. The record is from RNAcentral.
AAAUUGAAGAGUUUGAUCAUGGCUCAGAUUGAACGCUGGCGGCAGGCCUAACACAUGCAAGUCGAACGGUAACAGAAAGCAGCUUGCUGCUUUGCUGACGAGUGGCGGACGGGUGAGUAAUGUCUGGGAAACUGCCCGAUGGAGGGGGAUAACUACUGGAAACGGUAGCUAAUACCGCAUAACGUCGCAAAACCAAAGAGGGGGACCUUCGGGCCUCUUGCCAUCGGAUGUGCCCAGAUGGGAUUAGCUAGUAGGUGGGGUAA